UACAGAGGGUGCGAGCGUUGUUCGGAAUUACUGGGCGUAAAGCGCGCGCAGGCGGCUCUUUAAGUCUGACGGUGAAAUGCCGGGGCUCAACCCCGUGCCCGCCGCGGAUACUGGAGGGCUGGAGACACGUAGAGGCAAGCGGAAUUCCGGGUGUAGCGGUGGAAUGCGUAGAGAUCCGGAAGAACACCGGAGGCGAAGGCGGCUUGCUGGGCGUAGUCUGACGCUGAGGCGCGAAAGCGUGGGGAGCAAACAGG
This 254-nucleotide ribosomal RNA is filed under the name uncultured bacterium. RNAcentral describes it as "partial 16S ribosomal RNA". It matches the Rfam family "Bacterial small subunit ribosomal RNA", at positions 524 to 776 of the family's 1533-position model. The record is from RNAcentral.